AGAGUUUGAUCAUGGCUCAGAGCGAACGCUGGCGGCGUACUUAACACAUGCAAGUCGAACGAGGAUCUUCGGUGUAGCAAUACAUUGGCGGUCCUAGUGGCGCACGGGUGAGUAACACGUGGGUGACCUGCCCUAGAGCUCGGGAUACCCCCUCGAAAGGGGGGCUAAUACCGGAUACGUUCCUUGGUCGAAAGAUCGAGGAGGAAAGGUGGCGCAAGCUGCCGCUCUUGGAGGGGCUCGCGGCCUAUCAGCUAGUUGGCGGGGUAACGGCCCACCAAGGCUAUGACGGGUAGCUGGUCUGAGAGGACGACCAGCCACACGGGGACUGAGACACGGCCCCGACUCCUACGGGAGGCAGCAGUGGGGAAUUUUCCGCAAUGGGCGAAAGCCUGACGGAGUGACGCCGCGUGUGGGACGAAGGCCUUCGGGUCGUAAACCACUGUCAGUGGGAAAGAUGGGUGUCGGGGCUAAUACCUCCGGCAUCUGACGGUACCUGCAGAGGAAGCCCCGGCCAACUCUGUGCCAGCAGCCGCGGUAAGACAGAGGGGGCAAGCGUUGCUCGGAAUUACUGGGCGUAAAGGGCGCGUAGGCGGGAUGGCAAGUCGGUCGUGAAAUCCCUCGGCUCAACCGAGGAACGUCGAUCGAUACUGCUGUUCUUGAGGAUUGCAGAGGAGACUGGAAUUCCCGGUGUAGCGGUGAAAUGUGUAGAGAUCGGGAGGAACACCGGUGGCGAAGGCGGGUCUCUGGGCAAUUCCUGACGCUGAGGCGCGAAAGCGUGGGGAGCAAACGGGAUUAGAUACCCUAGUAGUCC
RNAcentral lists this ribosomal RNA (811 nucleotides) under uncultured bacterium. RNAcentral's name for it is "bacterial SSU rRNA". It matches the Rfam family "Bacterial small subunit ribosomal RNA", at positions 8 to 796 of the family's 1533-position model. The record is from RNAcentral.